GAAACGCGAUAGUUAAUGUGAAUUGCAGAAUUCAGUGAAUCAUCGAGUCUUUGAACGCAUCUUGCGCUCCUUGGUAUUCCGAGGAGCAUGCCUGUUUGAGUGUCAUGAAUCCCUCAGCCCCCAUUGUUUUUUGUUAAGCAAUUGGUUUGGGUCUGGAUUUGGGCGUCUGCCAAAGCGCUUUUUCAAGUGCUUGGCUCGCCUCAAAGAGAUUAGCUGGACCCCAUUCCGAGCUGGUUCAACUCGACGUGAUAAUUUCAAUCGUCGAGGUAUGGUCUUCGGACCAGCCAGGUGUAGGAAUCCGGUCUGCUUCCAACUUUCGUCUGAAGCCAGCAAUGGUGUGAAGCGGAUUUUUUUUAAUGCUCUGGCCUCAAAUCAGGUAGGAUUACCCGCUGAACUUAA
Molecule: unclassified non-coding RNA, 399 nt
Filed under: uncultured Golubevia
Lineage: Eukaryota; Fungi; Basidiomycota; Exobasidiomycetes; Golubeviales; Golubeviaceae
Description: sequence contains ITS1
Rfam family: 5.8S ribosomal RNA (bases 1-105)
Source: RNAcentral